This 270-nucleotide ribosomal RNA is filed under the name uncultured bacterium. Its description in RNAcentral is "partial 16S ribosomal RNA". It matches the Rfam family "Bacterial small subunit ribosomal RNA", at positions 335 to 603 of the family's 1533-position model. The record is from RNAcentral.
GCCCUACGGGAGGCAGCAGUGAGGAAUAUUGGUCAAUGGGCGCUAGCCUGAACCAGCCAAGUAGCGUGAAGGAUGACUGCCCUAUGGGUUGUAAACUUCUUUUAUAUGGGAAUAAAGUGCAGUAUGUAUACUGCUUUGCAUGUACCUUAUGAAUAAGGAUCGGCUAACUCCGUGCCAGCAGCCGCGGUAAUACGGAGGAUGCGAGCGUUAUCCGGAUUUAUUGGGUUUAAAGGGUGCGUAGGCGGAAUAUCAAGUCAGCGGUAAAAAUUC